Penaeus monodon (black tiger shrimp) is the source of this 372-nucleotide long non-coding RNA. RefSeq lists it as uncharacterized. The transcript has 2 exons. NCBI's taxonomy places the organism in Eukaryota, Metazoa, Arthropoda, Malacostraca, Decapoda, Penaeidae. The record is from RefSeq and is a predicted model, not a curated record.
CGAAUAAAUGCUAAUGUCUGAUAAUGCCAAAAAUGGAAAAUAACCUAAGAAUUGAUGUUGUUUCCAGAAAAAGCUUAGUGAUCAGGAAGAGGAAAGAGAAAUGGACUCGCAACUCGAAGAGGAAGACAGCGUGUUAAAGCGAAUUAUGAGGCAAUUAGGAGAGCAAGAAGAGAAAAUGAAAUACGUUUUUUCUUCGAUGGGAGAUUUACAUUUGAGUGAAAUUGAGGCAAGUGAUUCAUCGACUCAGAUAGUUUCUAUGAAUACCUAUGUUUCUAUGAAUGUAUAUGUAUAAAUAUAUACAAAAAACAACCCUCCCUGACCAGGACUCGAACCUAGGUCACUCCAGGUCAGAACCGGAGGACCAGUGCUAAA